RNAcentral lists this ribosomal RNA (1096 nucleotides) under uncultured bacterium. RNAcentral describes it as "bacterial SSU rRNA". It matches the Rfam family "Bacterial small subunit ribosomal RNA", at positions 390 to 1501 of the family's 1533-position model. The record is from RNAcentral.
AGCAACGCCGCGUGAGGGAUGAAGGCCUCUGGGCUGUAAACCUCUUUUAUCAAGGAAGAAGAUCUGACGGUACUUGAUGAAUAAGCCACGGCUAAUUCCGUGCCAGCAGCCGCGGUAAUACGGGAGUGGCAAGCGUUAUCCGGAAUUAUUGGGCGUAAAGCGUCCGCAGGCGGCCCUUCAAGUCUGCUGUUAAAAAGUGGAGCUUAACUCCAUCAUGGCAGUGGAAACUGUUGGGCUUGAGUGUGGUAGGGGCAGAGGGAAUUCCCGGUGUAGCGGUGAAAUGCGUAGAUAUCGGGAAGAACACCAGUGGCGAAGGCGCUCUGCUGGGCCAUCACUGACGCUCAUGGACGAAAGCCAGGGGAGCGAAAGGGAUUAGAUACCCCUGUAGUCCUGGCCGUAAACGAUGAACACUAGGUGUCGGGGGAAUCGACCCCCUCGGUGUCGUAGCCAACGCGCUAAGUGUUCCGCCUGGGGAGUACGCACGCAAGUGUGAAACUCAAAGGAAUUGACGGGGGCCCGCACAAGCGGUGGAGUAUGUGGUUUAAUUCGAUGCAACGCGAAGAACCUUACCAGGGUUUGACAUCCUGCGAAUUUCUGGGAAACCGGAAAGUGCCUUCGGGAACGCAGUGACAGGUGGUGCAUGGCUGUCGUCAGCUCGUGUCGUGAGAUGUUGGGUUAAGUCCCGCAACGAGCGCAACCCACGUCUUUAGUUGCCAGCAUUUAGUUGGGCACUCUAGAGAGACUGCCGGUGAUAAACCGGAGGAAGGUGUGGAUGACGUCAAGUCAUCAUGCCCCUUACAUCCUGGGCUACACACGUACUACAAUGCUACGGACAAAGGGCUGCAAGUUCGCGAGGACAAGCAAAUCCCAUAAACCGUGGCUCAGUUCAGAUCGUAGGCUGCAACUCGCCUACGUGAAGGCGGAAUCGCUAGUAAUCGCAGGUCAGCAUACUGCGGUGAAUACGUUCCCGGGCCUUGUACACACCGCCCGUCACACCAUGGAAGUUGGCCACGCCCGAAGCCGUUACUCCAACCCUUGUGGAGGAGGACGUCGAAGGUGGGGCUGAUGACUGGGGUGAAGUCGUAACAAGGUAACC